This 468-nucleotide ribosomal RNA is filed under the name uncultured bacterium. RNAcentral describes it as "partial 16S ribosomal RNA". It matches the Rfam family "Bacterial small subunit ribosomal RNA", at positions 28 to 507 of the family's 1533-position model. The record is from RNAcentral.
GACGAACGCUUGCGGCGUGCUUAACACAUGCAAGUCGAACGGAAAGGCCCUGCUUUUGUGGGGUGCUCGAGUGGCGAACGGGUGAGUAACACGUGAGUAACCUGCCCUUGACUUUGGGAUAACUUCAGGAAACUGGGGCUAAUACCGGAUAGGAGCUCCUGCUGCAUGGUGGGGGUUGGAAAGUUUCGGCGGUUGGGGAUGGACUCGCGGCUUAUCAGCUUGUUGGUGGGGUAGUGGCUUACCAAGGCUUUGACGGGUAGCCGGCCUGAGAGGGUGACCGGCCACAUUGGGACUGAGAUACGGCCCAGACUCCUACGGGAGGCAGCAGUGGGGAAUAUUGCACAAUGGGCGGAAGCCUGAUGCAGCAACGCCGCGUGCGGGAUGACAGCCUUCGGGUUGUAAACCGCUUUCGCCUGUGACGAAGCGUGAGUGACGGUAAUGGGUAAAGAAGCACCGGCUAACUACGUG